RNAcentral lists this unclassified non-coding RNA (162 nucleotides) under uncultured Phomopsis. RNAcentral describes it as "sequence contains ITS2". Lineage: Eukaryota; Fungi; Ascomycota; Sordariomycetes; Diaporthales; Cytosporaceae. The record is from RNAcentral.
CAACCCUCAAGCACUGCUUGGUGUUGGGGCACUGCUCCUCUCGCGGGGAGCAGGCCCUGAAAUUCAGUGGCGAGCUCGCCAGGACCCCGAGCGCAGUAGUUAAACCCUCGCUCUGGAAGGCCCUGGCGGUGCCCUGCCGUUAAACCCCCAACUCUUGAAAAU